This 616-nucleotide ribosomal RNA is filed under the name Dinomyces arenysensis. Its description in RNAcentral is "eukaryotic LSU rRNA". The stretch from base 211 to 359 matches the Rfam family "5.8S ribosomal RNA". The record is from RNAcentral. Lineage: Eukaryota; Fungi; Chytridiomycota; Chytridiomycetes; Rhizophydiales; Dinomycetaceae.
GUCGUAACAAGGUAACCGUAGGUGAACCUGCGGUUGGAUCAUUGCUAAUACUAGGGACUAUAGUGUAUGCGGGUCGCCUUCGGGUGCAACUGCUAUAGUCUCUAUAAACACCUGUGCACCUAUUUGUGUCUUCGGCGGGAAUCUUUUUGAAUUCCGCCGAACUUGUAAACCAUUCUAUAUUUUGUCGGCCAUUAAAUCUGUAAAGUUAACAACUUUAGACAACGGAUCUCUUGGCUCUCGCAACGAUGAAGAACGCAGCGAAAUGCGAUACGUAAUGUGAAUUGCAGAAUUCCGUGAAUCAUCAAAUCUUUGAACGCACAUUGCACUCUGUUUCGCAGAGUAUGCCUGUUUGAGAAUCUAUUGUAUUCUUCUAUCGAUUUCGGUUGAUAGAGAUCUGAGGAAUCUGGUUUGCCAGUUCUUUGAAAUAGAUUGACCAGUUUCUGCGAGAUGUUUGAACUCGCUCAGCUGAAAGUGUUUGUAUGAACCCCGGUUCUUUUUACGCCUAAGUUUGAGUGACUAGUCUUUGUAGGAUCUGGCCCAACAUAGAGUUUUCCUUGUGAAAACUUGAACCAUGGUCUCAAAUCAGGUAGGAGUACCCGCUGAACUUAAGCAUAUC